AGCAGACAGACCUGAUCUGCCGAUUCCCGAUCAAAGCGGACGAUCAGGCCGAACCCAGAGCGUGCAUGCUCCCUUCGUGUCCCUUGUCCUAAGUUAAUGAGUAAACUUUGGUUAGGACGUUUGGCUUGUGAUAUUUCGGUGGCGGACACCCAACGUCUUAUCCUUCACUUAAACUUAAUCCUGCAGACCCAGCACCGGGGCAGGUUAGCCUUUUCUUCUCCAAGCUCACCCGCCCUCGCCCCUAUAAACUACCAAUGGACAUCCUCUGUGUUGGUCACUGGGAAGCACUGAAGGCUCGAAGGUGAUCUUUGAAAUAGCAUGGAGGAUUGCAACGCGUGGACUGCACAGCCUCUCUCUUCUGACGACAUGCCCAGCUGUAUCACAGAGGAGAGUGUUAAGUCAGAACGGCGAUCUCCAUGACGACGGAGGGGAGCGGCUACCAAAAUGACCUUCCAAAGGACGGCCACCUCUGAAUGCUGUGAUACAGUGGUAACAUGGGAAAAUAAAGUCUAGCUAUUAGGAAUGAACUCUGUGAGGAGAAAGGAACCUUUAUUUAGGAAUUGUGUGAGAGAAAAGAGAGGUACAAGGAAAAUACAUUUCGAAGAUCUAACGACCACCACUUAUCUUAUCUCAAGAC
This 637-nucleotide long non-coding RNA is filed under the name Mus musculus (house mouse). The record is from RNAcentral. Lineage: Eukaryota; Metazoa; Chordata; Mammalia; Rodentia; Muridae.